RNAcentral lists this long non-coding RNA (501 nucleotides) under Parus major (Great Tit). RNAcentral describes it as "lncRNA (ENSPMJG00000000405.1)". Lineage: Eukaryota; Metazoa; Chordata; Aves; Passeriformes; Paridae. The record is from RNAcentral.
UCACAGACUUGUAGAGGUUGGAAGGGGCCUCUGGGAGUCACCUGGCCCAACAUUCCUGAUCAUCCAGAGAGCUGUGCCAGCUGCACUGAACCACGUCCAGACACUUCCUGAUCAUCUCCAGGGAUGGAGAUUCCAAAGAUUCCACAUAUUCCACAUUCCCUGUGCCAUUUCAGAGAAAGAGAGACUCACGCCUUGCAGUUCACACUGAGAAACCCUCAGCCCUGUCAGCUGUUUGUGGAUGCAGCGCUUGACACCGCACAUGUCUUUAAUUCCAAAGGAAUGCAGCAGCCCUGGUGAUGCCGUGGCCAUGUCACAGGAGGCACCAGCUUUCUAUAAGGACACUGAUCUAAGGAUAAGGAAACAGCUCCAUCCAGAUCCCUCCAUGGUCCUACAGGCAGCUGGAAGCUCCCCACAGCCACCACUGGAGAUCCUCCUCACCCCCCUUAACUGGGUGUGAAACUUAUGACAGAAUAAGAAAGUCAUAAAAAUAAUAAUGAAAAA